Molecule: ribosomal RNA, 500 nt
Filed under: uncultured bacterium
Lineage: Bacteria
Description: partial 16S ribosomal RNA
Rfam family: Bacterial small subunit ribosomal RNA
Source: RNAcentral
AUUGAACGCUGGCGGCAUGCCUUACACAUGCAAGUCGAACGGCAGCGCGGACUUCGGUCUGGCGGCGAGUGGCGAACGGGUGAGUAAUACAUCGGAACGUACCCUGUUGUGGGGGAUAACUAGUCGAAAGAUUAGCUAAUACCGCAUACGACCUGAGGGUGAAAGUGGGGGACCGCAAGGCCUCACGCAGCAGGAGCGGCCGAUGUCUGAUUAGCUAGUUGGAGGGGUAAAGGCCCACCAAGGCGACGAUCAGUAGCUGGUCUGAGAGGACGAUCAGCCACACUGGGACUGGGACACGGCCCAGACUCCGACGGGAGGCAGCAGUGGGGAAUUUUGGACAAUGGGGGCAACCCUGAUCCAGCAAUGCCGCGUGUGUGAAGAAGGCCUUCGGGUUGUAAAGCACUUUUGUCCGGAAAGAAAUCGCGCUGGUUAAUACCUGGCGUGGAUGACGGUACCGGAAGAAUAAGCACCGGCUAACUACGUGCCAGCCGCCGCCGUAA